Molecule: ribosomal RNA, 587 nt
Filed under: uncultured bacterium
Lineage: Bacteria
Description: partial 16S ribosomal RNA
Rfam family: Bacterial small subunit ribosomal RNA
Source: RNAcentral
UGGGGAAUUUUGGACAAUGGGGGAAACCCUGAUCCAGCCAUCCCGCGUGUGCGACGAAGGCCUUCGGGUUGUAAAGCACUUUUGGCAGGAAAGAAACGUCGCGGGUUAAUACCCCGCGAAACUGACGGUACCUGCAGAAUAAGCACCGGCUAACUACGUGCCAGCAGCCGCGGUAAUACGUAGGGUGCAAGCGUUAAUCGGAAUUACUGGGCGUAAAGCGUGCGCAGGCGGUUCGGAAAGAAAGAUGUGAAAUCCCAGAGCUUAACUUUGGAACUGCAUUUUUAACUACCGGGCUAGAGUGUGUCAGAGGGAGGUGGAAUUCCGCGUGUAGCAGUGAAAUGCGUAGAUAUGCGGAGGAACACCGAUGGCGAAGGCAGCCUCCUGGGAUAACACUGACGCUCAUGCACGAAAGCGUGGGGAGCAAACAGGAUUAGAUACCCUGGUAGUCCACGCCCUAAACGAUGUCAACUAGCUGUUGGGGGCCUUCGGGCCUUGGUAGCGCAGCUAACGCGUGAAGUUGACCGCCUGGGGAGUACGGUCGCAAGAUUAAAACUUAAAUGAAUUGACGGGGGUCAUAGCUGUUUCCU